This is a long non-coding RNA of Ahaetulla prasina, 596 nucleotides long. RefSeq lists it as uncharacterized. Lineage: Eukaryota; Metazoa; Chordata; Lepidosauria; Squamata; Colubridae. The transcript is spliced from 2 exons. The record is from RefSeq and is a predicted model, not a curated record.
GAGACCAACUGUUGCAAGAAAGCCUACAACUGGUUCUGUGGCUUGGAACAGACGGGCCCCAAGCUGAGCAAGGAAGAAGAGGCCCUGCAGCAUAAGUUGACAGACACAACGGAGGAGCCCUUGUGGAGGCGCGUGCUCAACAUCAAUGCCAUCAUCUUGCUGUCGGUGGCUGUCUUCUGCCAUGGAUUUUUUGCAUAGGUCUUUGGUUAUUUGGAUUUUCCCAAACAGAACACACCCCCAUCCAAUCAGAGCACAGCCAACCCCACCAUCCAAUCAGAGCACAGCCAAACCCCCAACCAAUCAGAACAGACCUCCACCCAAUCAGAAUACAGCCAAACUCCCAACCAAUCAGUUGAAACCCCCACUAGCAGUUAAAAGGAAGAAACAGCUGUGAUCACACAUUGCUCCUAGAAGCACGAAGCUGUAAACACCAGCCUGAAGAUGACGGAUGAGACUUCAUUGAAACGUCGCCAAGACACUUCCAAUUUUACAUGGGAGAAAACCCGAAUAACCAAAGACAGACAUACACACACACACACACACACACACACACAUAAAUGACUGUGUCUUGUUGAAAAAAACAAAAUGAAACAGAA